Molecule: long non-coding RNA, 806 nt
Organism: Solea senegalensis (Senegalese sole)
Lineage: Eukaryota; Metazoa; Chordata; Actinopteri; Pleuronectiformes; Soleidae
Exons: 7
Source: RefSeq, a predicted model, not a curated record
ACUAAAACAAACCAACCAGGUUACCAGCCACAUGUAACAACUAAUACAUCAGAACUCUUCAUGUGAUGUCCUCAGGGAAAAGACGGUGAAGACCGGAGCACAGCGCCAUGCAGCUUCUGGGAUUGAUUGUGAUAUUAAUGGGAGACACAUUAGUCCAGUGCUCUGCUUAACCAGUGUGAAAAACAGAGAGUGACUCUGAUAACAAGGUCAGUGUGGCAAAGCUGAUGCAUAUUCUUCUUCCUCCCUCUUGGAGAUAUGAACCAAGCGAAAGGAAACAGAGGGAAGAGAGAAGAGAAGAGAAGAAGAAACAGACAAUUGUGAAUACAGAGCAAGGUUUUAACAAAGACUUGGCGGCUCAAGCUGAUGACGGCUCUAUUUCCCUGGACUUGAUUCAGCUGUUUCUCCAUCUGGCAAUGGAGUACCUGGGAGCUCCAGUGCGCUCGCCUUGAGGAAAGAGAACAACUCGUUAUUCAAACAGUUAAACAGGUUUCUCCAAUUACCAAGGCAGUAACCCCCAACUGCUUUCCCAACCACCACCAGCAGGCAGAGCAGGAGGGUGUGAGAGGAAAUGGAAUCAUUCCGAGAACAGUAAUCAGCUUUAACAGAGGUGACAGUAUGACGGUGCUGACGGGAGCGGGGGACCUGGACUCAGGAUUUGGAUUAACCAACGACACCUUUUCACUCUGUCAAGGUUAAUAUUGUUUAGGGGGAAAACACCCUAUAAACAUUACCUCGACUUCAGCACUUGGAAAUGUUGGCCCCUGAAGAUGUGUUUUUGAGCUGAAUGAGGGAGAUUAAUCUGUAAA